Molecule: ribosomal RNA, 476 nt
Filed under: uncultured bacterium
Lineage: Bacteria
Description: bacterial SSU rRNA
Rfam family: Bacterial small subunit ribosomal RNA
Source: RNAcentral
GGCUCAGAGUGAACGCUGGCGGCGUGCUUAACACAUGCAAGUCGAACGAGAACGGAUUAUAGCUUGCUAUAAUUGUCAGCUAAGUGGCGCACGGGUGAGUAAUGUAUAGAUAACCUGCCCUCUAGAAAGGAAUAACAGUUGGAAACGACUGCUAAUGCCCUAUAUGCCUUUAAUACAUAAGUAUGCAAGGGAAACGCUUUAGUGCUAGAGGAUGGGUCUGUAUGGUAUCAGUUAGUUGGUGAGGUAAUGGCUCACCAAGACUAUGACGCCUAACUGGUUUGAGAGGAUGAUCAGUCACACUGGAACUGAGACACGGUCCAGACUCCUACGGGAGGCAGCAGUGGGGAAUAUUGCACAAUGGACGAAAGUCUGAUGCAGCAACGCCGCGUGGAGGAUGACACAUUUCGGUGCGUAAACUCCUUUUAUAUAGGAAGAUAAUGACGGUACUAUAUGAAUAAGCACCGGCUAACUCCGUG